Molecule: small RNA, 31 nt
Filed under: Bombyx mori (domestic silkworm)
Lineage: Eukaryota; Metazoa; Arthropoda; Insecta; Lepidoptera; Bombycidae
Description: ovarian small RNA-22707
Source: RNAcentral
UAGGCGAUCACGCCACGGCCCUAUGCACUCG